This is a long non-coding RNA of Sinocyclocheilus rhinocerous, 352 nucleotides long. RefSeq lists it as uncharacterized. NCBI's taxonomy places the organism in Eukaryota, Metazoa, Chordata, Actinopteri, Cypriniformes, Cyprinidae. The transcript has 3 exons. The record is from RefSeq and is a predicted model, not a curated record.
GAGCUAAACACUGCAGGACACCGGCCCUCCAGGACCGAGUUUGGGCACCCCUGCUUUAGACCGCAGAGUUAUACUUGCUGGUCUCGCCCACUUUGAUAUGUGCUACCAGGUUUCCUCCGGUCCGAGCAUCCUGGAUAUGAGAUACGAUGACGACCAGGUCAUAGACAGACGCUCCUUCUGCCUCUUCACUUUCAGUCAGCUAUGAGAAGAAACAAGACACAUUUUAUUUGAGCAAGGUCAUUUAAAAAAAUUAAAGAGUCAUCUUUCCCAGACAGGCUGCUAACCUCCAGGCCCUGAGUCUUACUGAUGCACAUCUUCAGACUGAGAGGGAUCCACACGUGCCUCAUGUCCU